UACAGAGGUCUCAAGCGUUGUUCGGAUUCAUUGGGCGUAAAGGGUGUGUAGGUGGCGCGCUAAGUCGGGUGUGAAAUUUCGGAGCUUAACUCCGAAACUGCAUUCGAUACUGGCGUGCUUGAGGACUGGAGAGGAGACUGGAAUUCCUGGUGUAGCGGUGAAAUGCGCAGAUAUCAGGAGGAACACCGGUGGCGAAGGCGGGUCUCUGGGCAGUAACUGACGCUGAGGAGCGAAAGCGUGGGGAGCGAACAGG
RNAcentral lists this ribosomal RNA (253 nucleotides) under uncultured bacterium. RNAcentral describes it as "partial 16S ribosomal RNA". It matches the Rfam family "Bacterial small subunit ribosomal RNA", at positions 524 to 776 of the family's 1533-position model. The record is from RNAcentral.